UUGAUUUGGCUGUGCCUUCCAUUGCCGAUUUGGAUUGAGAGCUGGACCAUUAUCUUUGGCUUAUGGGAACGUUAGCUAUUGCUAGCGUUAGCCUUUUGUUGACACAGUACGUGUUUACCUGUAAGGUUAAUAGUCACGUAGUUGCGAUAAGUGGUUGUGUUCUAACAGUAGGGUAAAGUGAUACGACGUUCGUGUGCUGCCUGCUGUCUAAUCUCUGAGUUCCCCAUUGCUUUAGUGAUCUCAAGAUAAAAUGACAUUUUGGAACAUUGGGAAAUGAUUUCGUUUAGAAGGCUUUUCCUGCAUCUUGUUUAACUGCCGGUAAAGUGUUGAUGCAAAAAUGUUCGUGCAACAACGAACUUCAUACUGCAAUCGGGAAAUUGACGAUACCUCCGGCGCCAUUCUGUCCUUUCAGCUGGAGCAUUCCACUAUCUUGCGUUGUUUGAUUAUCGCAACAGGUGGAACCUGUCGUGCCACCGUUAUAAGACCAAGACCAAACGCCCUGCCAAAACAUCGGCAAUAAACAUCAAAAGUUGGACUGGUUUCGGGACCGCCACAAACAGUGGCAAAUUCACCAAUCACCAAAGGCUUAUCCAAUCCGUAGGAUGCGGCUGUAACCUUGUACUUUGAAUGGUUCGCUGGGGUCCCAUUGUCCGUUGUACGUGUAAGUGUGAAAUUGGUAAAAAUCUAAUGUGCCUAAAUUUCUACCACCUGCAGCUAGGAGACAUUCGUCUGUGUAGUAAUUUCCUGUUGAGAUGGGAUUAAUUACAAAAUUAAAAAACUCAAAUUUUCAAUCACAUAACGUCAAUUUAACUGGAUUGUUCGUAUGCGUCAGACUGGGCGUGUUCCGACCAAGAGCCUAAGGUAACGAGCGAUGCGGGAUUAGUUUCCUUGAUGGCGUGCGUUUGCCAGUUGACGAACUUCAAAUUACUUCAAGUUAAUUUCAAGUUAAUUUAUUUUCCUUUCAUUUAUUUAAUUGAUUCUAAAUGUACUUUUCCAUAGGGAUGGUGAGGCCUGUCCAACUGGCGUCCGUAUUCGCAAGUGGAGUCGUAUCGAAACAUGGAUUGUCAUUCACCUGGUUAAGUAAAAUGGCUCCUUCCGGCUCGUUCAUAAUUUCCCAAGCAGCGAGUGCAGGAUGAUCUCCCAAAGCUGCAACCAUCGGCUAUCAAAGAUAAUUUGACGUUAAAAUCCGAAAAAGUUCGUUUUUUUUUUUUUUUAGGUUAGCACCUUGAGAGCGUUGUCGAUGUAACUCUGCAGUUUGGCAUCGUCGUAAAACAGGUUGAUCGUGUUCUGAUUUUCCAGGACUGCGCCGUUCCACAAAACGAAGAUGACGAGAAUAUUUUUACUUUGCGCAAAAUCCAGGAAGGAUCGCAUAUCGUCGAUGAUUGUGCCCGUACUGUCGGGACUGGUCACGUAUCCAUUGCUGUCGUAGGUUGGAGUGUUUUGUCCUUCUACAUGUACCCAUUGCCCUGUCGUAUCCCACGUUAGUGUCGUAAAGGAUUUAUUGAGGCCGUUUCCGAAGUCGUAGCCGUACGAAUACCAAGCGAUGUUGGCUCCAGACAGGAAUACUUUCUGGCCAUUGUAAAGGAAAUCACGACCACUCGUCGUCAAUCGGCCGACGCCCAACGUCACGCAAAUACCCAGGAACAAGACGGACAGCCUCAGCAUUUUAAAAAAAAUCAUGGGAGAAAUCCCGUGAAUGAAACCAACGUGAACAGUUGAUGGACACUGAAUGAUUAUGACGGGAAAAAAUGAGUUCAAUGCGUGACACUGUUUACCAUAUGAAAAUAAAUUCACGCCAUAUAUAAACAAAAAUACAUUAUCGAUAUUGA
This 1829-nucleotide long non-coding RNA is filed under the name Daphnia magna. RNAcentral's name for it is "uncharacterized LOC116931457, transcript variant X1". Lineage: Eukaryota; Metazoa; Arthropoda; Branchiopoda; Diplostraca; Daphniidae. The record is from RNAcentral.